Molecule: transfer RNA, 79 nt
Filed under: Photobacterium angustum
Lineage: Bacteria; Pseudomonadati; Pseudomonadota; Gammaproteobacteria; Vibrionales; Vibrionaceae
Description: tRNA-Val
Rfam family: tRNA
About the family: Transfer RNA (tRNA) molecules are approximately 80 nucleotides in length. Their secondary structure includes four short double-helical elements and three loops (D, anti-codon, and T loops).
Source: RNAcentral
GCGUCUGUAAGCUCAGCUGGUUAGAGUACUACCUUGACAUGGUGAGGGGUCGGUGGUUCGAGUCCACUCAGACGCACCA